CGUACCGUCCAAACGUUAUUCGGAAUUACUGGGCUUAAAGGGUACGUAGGCGGCGCUGUUAGUCGGGUGUGAAAUCCCUCGGCUCAACCGAGGAAUUGCGCCCGAUACUGCAGUGCUUGAGGGAGACAGAGGUAAGCGGAACUGAUGGUGGAGCGGUGAAAUGCGUUGAUAUCAUCAGGAACACCAGUGGCGAAAGCGGCUUACUGGGUCUCUUCUGACGCUGAGGUACGAAAGCUAGGGGAGCGAAGGGGAUUAGAUACCCCCGUAGUCCUAGCUGUAAACGUUGAGCACUUGAUCGAGGGCCCCCCCAUAGGCUCUCGGUCGUAGCGAAAGUGUUAAGUGCUCCGCCUGGGGAGUAUGGUCGCAAGGCUG
This 372-nucleotide ribosomal RNA is filed under the name uncultured organism. RNAcentral describes it as "bacterial SSU rRNA". It matches the Rfam family "Bacterial small subunit ribosomal RNA", at positions 526 to 896 of the family's 1533-position model. The record is from RNAcentral.